This 119-nucleotide ribosomal RNA is filed under the name Pteropus alecto (black flying fox). Lineage: Eukaryota; Metazoa; Chordata; Mammalia; Chiroptera; Pteropodidae. The record is from RNAcentral.
GUCUACAGCCAUGCCACCCUGAACAAGGCCAAUCCCAUCUGAUCUCGGAAGCUAAGCAGGGUCGGGUCUGGUUAGUACUUGGAUGGGAGACCACCUAGGAAGACCAGGUGCUGCAGGAG